This is a long non-coding RNA of Ornithodoros turicata, 881 nucleotides long. RefSeq lists it as uncharacterized. The record is from RefSeq and is a predicted model, not a curated record. Lineage: Eukaryota; Metazoa; Arthropoda; Arachnida; Ixodida; Argasidae. The transcript has 3 exons.
UACCGUGCCGAGGGGAUGAAAGGUGAAGGGAGAGAAACCAUGAACGGAGGCGGUCGAGGUUUUGGUCAAACCCCGGCCGAUGGGUUUUCAGUAACUCCGGGACCUUUCCACAUGUAUGGACGUGAAGUGUGGGAGACAGUUUUGGAUCGUCCAGCUCUAAAUACCGCAUGGCUGUUCUAUCCAUUCCACAAACGUCUGGGAACCUGCCAAAGCGCUCCAAGCCUUGGUGGAACACCGACUGCAAGGAUACACGGAAGGAGCAAAAUCGGGCAUGGAGUAUCUUUCGCAAAUAUCCAACCACAACAAACCUAAUCCGGUUUAAAAAGGCUAGGGCUAAAGCCCGUUGGACACGGCGCCAAGCCAAAAAAGCGUCGUGGAAGGAUUUUGUCUCAAGUCUGAAUAACAACACACCUUCAAAGAUUGGACUAUGGAUGCGCUGUUUAUGGGUCGGCUCGACCAACUGCUUUGAAGAUACUCGAUCCGAUACAUCACCAGGGACUACGCUUAGUCCUUGGCGCAUUCAGAACAUCGCCAGUGGAGAGUUUGUAUGUCGAGUCGAACCACUGGUCACUCGCAAGACGGAGGUUUUUUCUUAGCGCCACAUAUGCACUUAGGGUUCGGUGUUACCCCCAACAUCCAGCGCUCGAAUGUGUGCAGGACACUCAAUACAAGCAACAAUUUUUGAAUAAACCGUCACAAUUACUUCCUUUUUGUAUGCGCAUCUCUCAGGAAGUUAAACGAUGCAACUUUGCUGAAUACGAUUACAAGGUAAUGGAAUUUAAGCAAAGGCUGCCUCCAUGGCAUCCACCUCCAAGUUUCAACAAGUCACUAACAAAAUUCAAGAAAUCUGACACCUCACAGGCUGUUUUGUUACAAGAAUU